Non-coding RNA from Caretta caretta (loggerhead turtle), 74 nucleotides. The record is from the annotation of a RefSeq genome assembly. NCBI's taxonomy places the organism in Eukaryota, Metazoa, Chordata, Testudines, Cheloniidae.
GGCUGGCUAGCUCAGUUGGUUAGAGCGUGGUGCUAACAACACCAAGGUUGUGGGCUCAAGCCCCAUGCCGGCCA